RNAcentral lists this transfer RNA (72 nucleotides) under Perkinsus olseni. RNAcentral describes it as "tRNA-Cys". It matches the Rfam family "tRNA". Rfam says of the family: Transfer RNA (tRNA) molecules are approximately 80 nucleotides in length. Their secondary structure includes four short double-helical elements and three loops (D, anti-codon, and T loops). Lineage: Eukaryota; Perkinsozoa; Perkinsida; Perkinsidae. The record is from RNAcentral.
GGGUGUGUAGCUCAGUGGUAGAGCGGCUGACUACAGAUCAGCAGUUCCUCGGUUCGGAUCCGGGCGCGCCCU